RNAcentral lists this small RNA (117 nucleotides) under Callithrix jacchus (white-tufted-ear marmoset). RNAcentral describes it as "Metazoan signal recognition particle RNA (ENSCJAG00000071359.1)". The record is from Rfam by way of RNAcentral. Lineage: Eukaryota; Metazoa; Chordata; Mammalia; Primates; Cebidae.
GCCGGGCGUGGUGGCUCAUGCCUGUAAUCCUAGCACUUUGGGAGGCCAAGGUGGGUGGAUCACCUGAGGUCAGGAGUUCAAGACCAGCCUGACCAUCAUGGUGAAACCCCAUCUUUA